RNAcentral lists this long non-coding RNA (5423 nucleotides) under Brassica rapa (field mustard). Its description in RNAcentral is "long non-coding RNA (BRAP_LNC000675)". Lineage: Eukaryota; Viridiplantae; Streptophyta; Magnoliopsida; Brassicales; Brassicaceae. The record is from RNAcentral.
ACUGAUCCAUGUGAUGUUAACAGUACGUACAAAGGUCCUUACCACAUUCCACUAUUUUGUUCGACAACAUUCACGUACUUUAUAAGAAAAACUUGCGUAAUCAUUUCAUGAAUUUAUUGCAUCCUUCGGUGAAGUAGGAUAUAUUUCUUGUAUAUAAUCACUAGAUCUAUUGUCCGCGCUUCGCGCGGAUUACAUAUUUAAGACUUUUGUUAUUGAAUAUUUAAAAAAGUUUUUACAUUUUCUUGCACAAAAAAUUGUAUGAUGUAAAGACAAUAAAAUAAAUGAUGAUAGCCUAAAGCUUUUCGUUGAUUAUUUUUAAAAUUGAUGUAAGUGGUGUAUUUGUUGGUAGGUUCCGUAUUACAUUCAUGUAAACUUUUAACCUUUUUACUUAACUGGAUGUUUUUUUUGGUAAACCAUAUCGGUUGAUCCGCUCGAUUUCGGGAGGAAUGCGUGUAGUGUAGUGUUAGUUAUAAAUUUAUACAUUAUCUUAGUAUAUGUGAAAGAUAGUAUUAUAAUAGUGUAUCCAAAGUACUUACUUAUUCAUAAUAUAUUUUUUUAUUUUAGUUUUUUAAUCCUCUUAAACCUGGUAAAUUAAAUUGUUUUAACUUAAUAACUUGACUGUUUUUUGGUUGUUCAUAUCACAUAAACUAUAAAUAAUACAUAUACAAUUAUUAUUUAAUUGGUUAAUUUAUAUUAACUUAUCUUCUAUCUAACAUGUCACUAUUUAUUAAAUAAAAUUUUAAAAACAUAUUUUAUAAGUAUGUUAUAUGUAUUAUUUGAAUUUUAUACAUAUUUUAUAAGUAUGUCAACGAAAUAUAAUGCAACAGGAUCAACCACGCAUGUCCUUGCUAAAAUAAAGCUCAUGGUUAAUAAUAAACGGACAAAGCCCACCUUACGUGCAGCUUGGCGCAUUAUUAAGCCAAUGAAAAGAAACAACUAAUUCUUCAUUUUUAGAAAAAAAAAACAGGUGCCAAAAGUGGAGCGAAGGUAGCUGAAGUUUGAGACUGAAGUGGAGUAAAACACUGGAACUUGAAAUAGUAUAGUGGUUGUCAAACAUCAAGAAAGGCAAAAAAAAAAAGUGAUCAAUUAUUUGAUAAGCAUGUGUUUUCCUCCUGUUUGCCCUCUCCUGCAAUUUCCACGAAAAAGGAAACCCUUCUUAGGGAUAUCUCCACACGCUCUUUAUAUUCUAUUGGUUAUGUGCCAUCCUGACCUGCUGUAACAAACACCCGAGGUACCACAACUUGCCUCCUAAGAGGUGGUGGCAAAUCUCCAACCAAAUGAGCUGUGCAGUCCAGUGCAUAAUGGCCUCGCUGACCACACCUCCUACACUUGUUGACUCCACCAGAACAACUCUGCUCCCUUGGUCAUCUUGGCUUGAGUACUUUUCAGGAGCUUUGCUUCCUCCAAAAGCCUGGCCUUCAUCCUGACUGAUUUCUCAACCAACUCAAUCAAGCUACCAUAUGCCCAUAUUGCACAUCGGUUGCGUAUAUCAGCUCUCAAUUCCUCCAAGAAUCUGCUAAUCGCAGAUUGUUCUCCAGUCUCUCUCACUGAGUGCAAACCUUCUGAGGCGGUUGAACUCUCGCUCAUACUCCCUAACUGACAUGGUGCCCUAAAUCUCUUGAAACUGUUCAUCGCCUCUUGCGGAAAAUACUUCCUAUUGAAUUCUUCUCUAAAGGUCUCUCAAGGGAUUUCAUAUCCAACAGGCUUGCUCCGUACCACACUGACACACAAUAUCUGCGCCUGCCCAUGCAAGUAAUGCACCGCAAGCUCCUUCUUGAACUCGGCUGGACACCUGAUUCAUAAAUUUUUUUUAUCUCCAACAGUUUUCGGUAAUCAUCUGCUUGUAGACCACCAGUAAAAAUCUCCAUCCAUAAGUCCCUCAUGCGUCUUAGUGUCUUCCAAUAUGAGAGUUGUCCUGGUCCUGGCAUCCCCGCUUACAUAAGCCGCACAUACUCACGACUUCAGAGAUGAAGUGGUGUUCACAUACCUUUAUUUGAAGGUGGUUGAGGGACUUGUACAUAAGUUGAUUAUGCACCAAUGAGUCAAAAUUGUAUUCAUUCACAUAAGACAAACACUAUACCAUGACCUAUAACCACAGUUUUAAUGAUAAAUAAUAAUCUUUCUAAAUCACUUACAAUGGUUAGACAUAUAUUUAUAUCUGCACAAACUCAAACAUGUUACAUAGAUGUGUGCGAGUGUAUGUGCCCCAUAAGGAAGACAUACGUACAUACUUUUCUGGAGCAAAUAUGUUCAAGAGAAGUGUCCAGCUGUUUCUCCAGAUUCUGGAGUUCCCUUAGGCUAAUUAAUCUAAAUCUUUUCCCACAUAAUGCCAGCAAUGAAUCCAUAUCAUCCUCACUUUUGUUAAUCCCCAAUGUUAAGUAAGAAAAUUAUUAUUUAUACAUGUUCAAUCCUAAAAUGUAUUAGUACAUUUGGUUCCUCUCAGAAAGAUCAACCCUAACAUUAAGCCUACUACAUUCCAUUGACCUGUUUGUUUGGGUAUACACAAUUAAUUCUCAGUUUGUAACCCAGUUUUAUAUUAAGAUAUUAUACAUAAAUAUAUGUUUGACAAAGAUUUGGAGACAUACAUACAUUAUGGGAAUAUGGAGCCUUUAUCUGUCUCGGCGUAUGAGUCUCUCGUUGCGUUUCAGAAACAUGGAAAACAGUCCUUUACCUGAUUCAACUUGUUCAGGUAAACAUAAACCUUUUUCAAUGGCGAUCACCAAUAAAAGUAACAAAGCAAUACACAAAAUAUAGAAGAACUACAACGUAAACUAAACAAAAAAAAGUAAAUUUCUAAUUCUACGUUGUCUUGGUGUUUAUACACUUGCUAAUUUGCUACCUAAGUUUAUUAAACCCAACUGUAAGCAACAAUAGUGGUUUUGAAAAUUAAUAAAGUGAAAUUAGAAAAGAAGCUCAAUAAUUUGCAUCAAAUAUAACGCAGAUAAGCUGAAGAUCGUUUCAGAGCUUACCAUAGAGGUCUCCCCUAUGUCCAUAGUUGGCUUCAAAACCUUCGAGAAACAAAUGGUUACACGCAGAUCAGCAAUUCGAUAGAUCUCUUUGGGCUUCGUAGCGAAGAAAUUCUUGAGGCUGUGGCUGGUAGCACGGAGCACAGUUUGAUGAAAUGAAACCUUGCAUCACAGUGGGCUGUUGGAAAAGAAAUCAGUAAGAUGUAAGGAAGUUUGAGUGAGAAUCCGCAGGAAGGAAAUUGCAGAGAAAAUCAAUCAUCCUAUUCGUUGAAGAUGAGCAGCUCCCACCACUGGCAGUGUUUCUGGCCACCCAGAGAUGGAUCAAAUUAAAGCGUAAUCCUGAUUCCGAUUAAGUCGACGAAAUAAAAUGUAACAGGAGAAUUAUCGUAGGUUGAAUCAAUUUGAUGGCCAUCGGUUGUUGUCAUCUAAUGGAUGCUGUAGAGAAUGGUUUGAUUAAACCUUUGAAGAAGAGAGGGAGUUGGAAGGUUACCUGAUUAAGAGAGAAUUAAAGAACAUGAUGAAUGAUUAAGUGUGGAGAAACAUGCAGUAAUUGAGAAACGCUGAGAGUCAGGACGACGCAGAGGAAGAGGAAGAAUCAGAGACGACAGAUCGCUUUAUGCUGAGAGCAUGACGUGGCAGGAAGGAAUGCUCUGAUUGGACAAUUUUUUAAUCUGACGUGGCAUGCUUCUUCUUUAAGCAUAUCUCCCUUUUAGUAUUGUUAGAUUUCAUGAAAAUUAUAGAAUCAGACUAGAUAAAACAUCGAAUAUAAUUUGGAUUUAAUAGCCUCGGAUCUUCGAGACAUAACUACUGUUGUUUUUAACAAUGUUUGGUGUUUUAGGUCGUCCAAAACUCAAUAGCUAUCUCCUCGAAUUUCACAUACAUAGGUCAACAUUCAGUAAGAUUUAUAUUUUUAUAGCGACAUUCAAAAUUAAGGAAAAUGAUCGUUUAUGGAUAGAGAAGAUUGCGAAACUAUUGGUAUUUUGUAUGUUUUUUUGGACAAUGUUUCAAAAUGAUAAUAAAAUAGGGUUUUCACCAGAAGAGCAUAUAAGAAGAAAAAUGAUCCACUCCAGCUCCGGCCUGGACGGCACGUACCGGCAUCUGGAGGCGACUCCUUCUUUCUCAACCGCUCUUUUUCUCUUUACUUCGCCGUGGUGUCCUUCACUCUCUCUGCUUUGAUUGUGUGCUCUGGAUCUGGAAGGCUCCAUAGAUCGUCUUUUCUGCAGGAAAGAUCCGGCCUUGACGAGUCUUAGCUAGGUUUUGGAGUGUCGUCGCGUGUUGGGUGAGGGUCUCUGGCGGUGUAGUCGGCUUUUUAGGGUUUGACAGGAGGUGUCUUAAACCUUCUGUAGGGAUGUUGGUGACUGGAUUGCUCUCUCUUUUGUUCUGGUCUCAGUCACCAUGUGGCCUUAGCUAGGCAGUGGGUGAGAGAAGUGUUGAAGCAGUAUUGUCGUUCUUUCUUGGCGUCUUGUAUUAACGCUUGCCGUUUUCACUCUCGUUGGAGAUCUGGAGGAUUCUUUUACCUCAGAGGCGGGCUCUAGCGCUUGCGGCCGACGUGGUGUCGGAGCUUGUGAUGCUUUCUCGUCGAGUGAGGCUGUGCAGCAGUGUCGUCAUUAGUCGUCUAUGGUUACUUCGAGGAUGAGUAGUCUCUUCUCUCUAAUUAGAUUGUUCUCUUCCGGGCGAUUAGUUUCAGUUAUUUUUGGGAGUCAUGUCGACUUGGUCCUAUCGGGUUCUCCACUCACUGUGUUGUUGAAUCGUGCCACCUGUUAGCUUUAUGUCAUCAAAGACUUGACCUUUCUUCGGUUCUCGAGGAGGGCGACUGGCGAGGAGUUCGGAGGGUCCUUUUGGUCUGAGGAGCUUCCUCUCCUUGGUGGCUCAGUCGGCGCUGUCACUCAUCUCAGUGCCGCGGGUCUGUUCUCUCGAUAGUGUGACAUUGCUAUACUUUUUGCAGGUCAUGGAGUGUUGGCUGAUUCUUCUCGUAGCCGACAUUCCGUUCCCGUCUUCUUGCAUCCGUCCAUGAUGAGAGGUCUUCAUCGACCGCUUAGUAUUGGGCGUCUCUUUUGGCGCUAAAGGAGCUUGUACAGGCGGGUGGUGCGAUUUUCAAAAGGUUGUGUUCUAACCCCUUCUCCUUUACUACUUGCGUGCAAAUUGGAAGUGAUGAUUAUAAGUCUGUAACUUACCGAGAGCUAGCUACUCUGGAAACGACGUGAAGAUUCCCGGCAUCCGAGGCAAUAAGGAGAACGGUAUCCGGAUUUCCUAAUGAUUUUAAAACGAGCUACCGGAAUGUGUCGGGUUUAGUGGGUUGGCGAAGGUGGUUAUGUUUAUGUUUUGAUUUGGGAAUUUUUCGUCGGCUUUGUAAUUGGACCUUAAUACCCGUUUAUCGGGAUGAUUAAUAUAUAUUUCAAUUAAAAAAAAAUGAUAAAAGAAGUUUCAUUAAAGAAAUAAAAUAUAAUUAUACUCUUA